AGGGUUGUAGCUCAGUGCCAGAGUGCUUGCCUACUAUGCUUGAGGCCCUGGGUUCAAUCCUCAGCACCACAA
This 72-nucleotide transfer RNA is filed under the name Ictidomys tridecemlineatus (thirteen-lined ground squirrel). Its description in RNAcentral is "Spermophilus tridecemlineatus (thirteen-lined ground squirrel) tRNA". It matches the Rfam family "tRNA". From Rfam's summary of the family: Transfer RNA (tRNA) molecules are approximately 80 nucleotides in length. Lineage: Eukaryota; Metazoa; Chordata; Mammalia; Rodentia; Sciuridae. The record is from Rfam by way of RNAcentral.